GACGGAGGGUGCUAGCGUUGUUCGGAAUGACUGGGCGUAAAGGGCGCGUAGGCGGCCGCUUGCGUCGGAUGUGAAAGCCCGGGGCUCAACCCCGGAACGGCAUCCGAUACGGAGCGGCUCGAGACCGAGAGAGGUGAGUGGAAUACCCAGUGUAGAGGUGAAAUUCGUAGAUAUUGGGUGGAACACCGGCGGCGAAAGCGGCUCACUGGCUCGGUACUGACGCUGAGGUGCGAAAGCGUGGGGAGCAAACAGG
This 253-nucleotide ribosomal RNA is filed under the name uncultured bacterium. Its description in RNAcentral is "partial 16S ribosomal RNA". It matches the Rfam family "Bacterial small subunit ribosomal RNA", at positions 524 to 776 of the family's 1533-position model. The record is from RNAcentral.